AACUGGGAUUAGAUACCCCACUAUGCACAGCCCUAAACUUUGAUAGAACUUUACACUUUCUAUCCGCCUGGGUACUACAAGCCCCAGCUUAAAAUCCAAAGGACUUGGCGGUGCUUUAGACCCACCUAGAGGAGCCUGUUCUA
RNAcentral lists this ribosomal RNA (143 nucleotides) under Belone belone. Its description in RNAcentral is "partial small subunit ribosomal RNA". The record is from RNAcentral. Lineage: Eukaryota; Metazoa; Chordata; Actinopteri; Beloniformes; Belonidae.